AAAAAAAAACAUUCUUCCCCAAAUUCUCAUUGAUUAAAGGACACAAGGUUUGCUCUAUUUGGAUAUUUAAGGAGGGUUGGCAAGGAACUCUGGGAAUCUGUAGAAAGAUCUCUCACACAGUUGCUAUGUGUAGUUUUCUCUAACAGGUAUGCAAGGAUUGGAUUGGAUUCUCUUAUGUUGUAUUAUUAUGUUUGAAUUUGAAUGGCAAUGUUGAAUCUGACUCUUUCUUCUUAUUCUUAUUGGAUUUGAUAUGUUCCUGGUUCCUGUACCUGGUUAAAAAAAAGUAUUAGACUUGAUUAUAUUCUGACUUAUUCUGAAAUUGUUGUCUCUAGUAGAUUACGUUAAGUCCAUGUUUCCACAAAUCUACGAUCAGGUUAGUAGUGGACUAAAGCUCAGUUCCAAGUGGAGCAUGAGGCACACUGGCUGAGAUUUUAGAGCUCCGACUAACAAAUUGGCACAAGUUCAAAUGUACUUAGAGUGUACAGGCUCAAUACGGAAUUUCAGUUUAGGACAACAUGAAGUUGAUUGACCAACCUAAAUAGUAUGAAGUCUAAACCUCUGGUUCCUGUAAUAUUUUUCUAGUUAAGUGUAUAUAAGUAACGAUGGCAUGAUUAUAUAAAGCUAAGUUUAAUUUAGGUAAUGUUGGUCUAUCUGUCAAUUUUAGCAUGUCAUGAUCUCCGACUAGAAAUAAUGGUACUAUACAUAAGUGUCAGCUAUCUAAGGGAACUAAACAAAAUACUUUUAGAUAAAAGGGCAAGCAUGAGUGGCCAUCUAUAUAUAUAUUAGUUCAGUUACCUCUGUCUAGAGGCCAAGAGUUUUGCGAUCGCAAGAUCCGCACACGGCCAGCACAAGACUCUCUAAAUGACAGGAAUCUGAAUGAACGAGCACGAUCUAAAAGUAUGGAAUAAACUCAAAUUAAUCAAAUGUGAGAGUUUAAAAGUAUUUACAAACUCGUGAUCUACAAAUAACUAAGAAAUAAAUACGACAUUGAGAAUCAAAGAGAAAUGGAAUUUGAAAAGACUGAAACACUCAGGAAUCCUUCUACUACGUCAAUGGACCAGUGAGUGGAACGUACAAAGUGUAUUGUUCUAUUUUGUAUAAUUAUAUUUUAAACCUUCAGGCUCAGUUGAGGUUAAUUUGCAUAGAGUACUGAUGUGUGUAUAAAAGAUAAACACUAUCUGUUGUUACCCAGAUGCAGAUGAGUUCCCUUCUGAGUCGGGUUCCUCUCAAGGUUUCUUCCUCUUAAAACAUCUUAGGGAGUUUUUCCUUGCCACCGUCGCCACUCAGUGGCUUGCUCAGUUGGGAUAAAUUCACACCUUUAAUAUCUGUAUACCGUGUUGAUAUUUCUGUAAAGCUGCUUUCAGACAAUGUCUAUUGUAAAAAGCAUUAUAUAAAUAAAAUUGAAUAAAAGAGAUUUUUAAACAUUUCAUUUUUUUUUUUUUUUUUUUUUACAUAAUCUAUAAUCUCACUCCUACCUGCUGCCAUAUAUACUAUUUUUGUUGGCAGCUACCCUUAAUAAUUUCUACUGAACAAACAUUAUAUGGCCAAAAGUACGUGGACACCUGACUAUCACACUCAACUAGCACAUAUGUGCUAGAUGAAUGUCCCGUUCCAGAUUUAGUCCCCCUUUGCUGUUAUAAUAAGGUCUGCUCUUCUUGGAAGGCUUCCCACUAGAUUUUGAGCGUGGUUGUGGGGAUUUGCGUUCAUUCAGCUACAAGAGCAUUAGUGAGGCAAGGCACUGAUGUUGGGUGAGGAGGCCUGGGGUGUAGUCGGUGUUCUGGUUCAUCCUGGAGGUGUUCAGUGGGAUUGAGAUCUUUAUGAGUUAAUGAGUUGAUUAUAAAUUCAGUGGGGGCACUGGAGGCUUGACGGUUACGGCUCUGGGUUACUGAACGGAAGGUAGGGGCUUCAAGUCCCAGCACUGCCAAGCUACCACUGUUGGGCCCUUGAACAAGGCCUUUAUCAUGGCUGACUCUGUGCUCUGACCCCAACCUCCUAACAUGCUGGGAUAUGUGAAGAAAAACGAAUUUCACUGUGCUGUAAUGUAUAUGUGACCAAUGAAGACUCAUUAUUCAUGAAACAUGUGGAAACAGGAGUGGUGCCUAAAUUGAAAAUGUGCAGCCAAACGACCCACCAAUGUCUAAUAUAAUCCUUGUUCCUGACUCUGUUAGUCCUUUCAGUCCUUCCUCCUGUUUUAUGUUACUUUAACAGUAUAACAUUGUUGAUUAGUUAGUUAGCUAGCUAGUUGAUUUACUGUAACAUCCAAUUUUUAAAGCAUUCUGUUGUACUGGAGGCUCACUAGCCAGGUGAAUUGUCACAACUGACCAUGCAAGCUAAAUCAAGUCAUUUUCAUACCAAAUCCUAUUUCAUGUGAACAGAUUAAAGAUACAAUUUAUCCACUUUGGGAAAAAAAACCCGACAUGAACUACAUAUUUAAAAAAAAAAGGUAGGUCCAAUGGCAUUAUUAUUAAUAAUAAUAAUAAUAAUAAUAAUAAUUUGAUUUCCCUGCUAGUUUUUCCCUAUGCUGAGACAUGUUGAACAUUUACUGGGCUCUACUGUCACCUAUUGGCACAUGAGUUAUUGCUAGUUAUGUGUACUAUAGUAUAUGGAGUUAUUAUAUAACUUAAAAGUUUUUUAUUAUCUCUAAAAACAGUCUGAAAAUCUCAGAGGACUUGGUAACAUCCCAAAAUAUUCACUUCCAAAACAGCUGCUUAUUUAGUAAUUUAGAUAAUUACAUACUGUACAUGACACAGAAUCUUGUGAAAAACAAAGCUAAACAAAACAACAACAAAAACAUCCAGAUAUCAGCAUUCUGGUUGAAUAGUUGCCUGAUGAUCCUGUGCCUGCUGUAAUCUCGGAUUCCUGUUUUUGGGAGUAAACCUGAUGUGGUCUUCUGCUAUUGUGGCCCAUCUGCCUCAAGAUUUGAUGUGUUAUGCAUUCUAAGAUGCUUUACUGCUCACUGCAGUUUUAAAGAGCGAUUAUUUGAGGUACCUUAACCUUCAUGUCAUCUCAAACCUUCUGUCUCCUCUGACCACUCUCAUCAACAAGGCAUUUCCCCCUGCAGAACGGCACCAUUCUGUGUAAACCCUAGAGCAGUGGUCACCAACACUCUUCAUGGAGAUCUCCUUUCCUGUAGCUUUCAUCUCCAGCCAAAAUCUAACUCACCUGUUUUAGCUGAUCAAGAACUUCUUAAGGCAGAGAUUAGAUUAUCAGGUGGGCACCCUUAUGGUUGGAGCUAAAGUCUUCAGGAAGGUGGAUCUCCAGGAACAAAGUUGGUAACCACUGUUCUUCAGUAGAGGCUGUUGUUGCCCACAAACCUCAAGUUUCGACGUGAUGUGUGUUCUGAGAUGCUUUUCUCCCCACCACGUUUGUAAAUAGUGACUAUUUGAGUAACCUUAGGGCAGGGCGGCGGGACAGCUUCUUUGACGUGCAGGAGCUACACAGCAGAGACCUCCCCGUAGGCCUCAAGCUGUAGCUCUGAGGUUGCCAUGUUGACCUCAGGCGGGAGCUCCACAGCUGAGGCCUCCCCAUAGGCCUCACGCUGGAGCUCUGCUGUCGUCAUUGACCCCCACCCAAAAUAAGUUCUAGGCUAGCCUUCGGUUCUGGGCUGGGCAGCGUGGUGCAAUUCCCCUGCAGUGGGAGGCUCCAGGAGGACGGGUAUCUUUACUGGCUGCAUGGCGUAGUAUAAUUCCCCUAAAGUGGGAAGCUCCAGGAGUUCGAGUAGCUCUGUUACCCACGCGGCACGGCAUAACUCUCCGGCAGCCGGGACGUGGGAAAUUGCGCGGGUGGCGAUAUGGCGCAUGGGCCGGCUUGCUGCAGCAGCCCUCGUUGCAUUAGCUGGCGAUCGAUCUGGGCAAGUCUUUUGUCGAUACGCUUACUCUCUUCCCAGAACGAUCGGCCCAACUUCUCGAACUCGGUGCUCACGUUGAUCUGCUGCUUCCAUGCUCGGGGCGCAGUAUUAUGUCACGGAACGGGACUGGAAGCGGAUGCAGAACCCCAACCAUGACAGCCCGGGAAAAUACAAUCGCGUCAAGAGAAAAAGAGGUCCAAGAAGAAAAAAGGGAACAAGCCAGCCCUGAGAUACCCAGAAAUAUGGAGGAAGACGGAUUACAAAAUCUUCUGUUAAUAAAGCUAUUCCUGACACCACGCUUCUCCAGCGAGACCUGCAGGCUUUACAACUCGACACGCUGGAUGUGAAGAGAACUGAAGAACUAAUAUUGGAAAGUAAUCAUUAAUGAAAAAAUGUGAUAGUAUAAGGAGUGUCUUGAAUAGAAAGGGGGCUGAAGCUGCAAGGUUAAAAAACCGAGCUAAAAUUGGACGUGCAGAGAGCAUUAGGCAACUGAAUCAGAGAUAUGGGCAAAAAUACACUGAGAAAAUGAAAAAAGAGGCGCAUGUCUGUCUUGAACGGCCCAGGCCCUCUGCUUUUACCACACAGGUGGAUACAUUGGAAAGAUUGAUAAGAA
Molecule: long non-coding RNA, 4460 nt
Organism: Ictalurus punctatus (channel catfish)
Lineage: Eukaryota; Metazoa; Chordata; Actinopteri; Siluriformes; Ictaluridae
Source: Ensembl